UACGUAGGGGCCGAGCGUUAUCCGGAAUUAUUGGGCGUAAAGAGCGCGCAGGUGGUUGAUUAAGUCUGAUGUGAAAGCCCACGGCUUAACCGUGGAGGGUCAUUGGAAACUGGUCGACUUGAGUGCAGAAGAGGGAAGUGGAAUUCCAUGUGUAGCGGUGAAAUGCGUAGAGAUAUGGAGGAACACCAGUGGCGAAGGCGGCUUCCUGGUCUGUAACUGACACUGAGGCGCGAAAGCGUGGGGAGCAAACAGG
This 253-nucleotide ribosomal RNA is filed under the name uncultured bacterium. RNAcentral's name for it is "partial 16S ribosomal RNA". It matches the Rfam family "Bacterial small subunit ribosomal RNA", at positions 524 to 776 of the family's 1533-position model. The record is from RNAcentral.